GACAGAGGGUGCAAACGUUGUUCGGAAUUACUGGGCGUAAAGGGCGCGUAGGCGGUCUUGUAAGUCUCGUGUGAAAUCCCUCGGCUUAACUGAGGAACUGCACGGGAUACUGCAUGACUUGAGAUCGGGAGAGGGAAGCGGAAUUCCGGGUGUAGCGGUGAAAUGCGUAGAUAUCCGGAGGAACACCGGUGGCGAAGGCGGCUUCCUGGACCGACACUGACGCUGAGGCGCGAAAGCUAGGGGAGCAAACGGG
This 253-nucleotide ribosomal RNA is filed under the name uncultured bacterium. RNAcentral's name for it is "partial 16S ribosomal RNA". It matches the Rfam family "Bacterial small subunit ribosomal RNA", at positions 524 to 776 of the family's 1533-position model. The record is from RNAcentral.